This 497-nucleotide ribosomal RNA is filed under the name uncultured bacterium. RNAcentral describes it as "partial 16S ribosomal RNA". It matches the Rfam family "Bacterial small subunit ribosomal RNA", at positions 28 to 507 of the family's 1533-position model. The record is from RNAcentral.
GAUGAACGCUGGCGGCGUGCCUAAUACAUGCAAGUCGAGCGAACAGACGAGGAGCUUGCUCCUCUGACGUUAGCGGCGGACGGGUGAGUAACAUGUGGAUAACCUACCUAUAAGACUGGGAUAACUUCGGGAAACCGGAGCUAAUACCGGAUAAUAUAUUGAACCGCAUGGUUCAAUAGUGAAAGACGGUUUUGCUGUCACUUAUAGAUGGAUCCGCGCCGCAUUAGCUAGUUGGUAAGGUAACGGCUUACCAAGGCAACGAUGCGUAGCCGACCUGAGAGAGUGAUCGGCCACACUGGAACUGAGACACGGUCCAGACUCCUACGGGAGGCAGCAGUAGGGAAUCUUCCGCAAUGGGCGAAAGCUUGACGGAGCAACGCCGCGUGAGUGAUGAAGGUCUUCGGAUCGUAAAACUCUGUUAUUAGGGAAGAACAAAUGUGUAAGUAACUAUGCACGUCUUGACGGUACCUAAUCAGAAAGCCACGGCUAACUACGUG